RNAcentral lists this long non-coding RNA (210 nucleotides) under Chinchilla lanigera (long-tailed chinchilla). RNAcentral's name for it is "lncRNA (ENSCLAG00000026903.1)". The record is from RNAcentral. Lineage: Eukaryota; Metazoa; Chordata; Mammalia; Rodentia; Chinchillidae.
UGGACUUCAGAGUUCAAAGUCCCAGGUUAAAUAUCUGGCUGUUUGACUCACCAGUGAAUUCACUUCGGUCAAGCAGUUUUCAUUACAACAACUUGCACUGGAUAAUCUACUACUUCUCAUCACCACGGAACUCCUGCAGCUACCAAAUAAAAGGAACAGUGGAGCUACUGCGAUGAGGAUGGAGCAAAUGAAGACUUCACAACCCCACCA